CUACAGCAUGAUAAACAGAGAGCAGAAUACUAACCUUUUCUGACUCGGAAUUUUCUGAACAAGAUUUAAACUUUUCAUGGAUGAUGUAAUUAAGUGGGGAGAAGGUGGUGAGAAGGGCGAGGAGCAAAAGGGAAGUGGUGAUGAAGAGAGGGGAGAGAAAAGAGAGGAGUUUAAGGAGGUAAGGAGAGAAGAAAAUGAAGUAAGAAAAGUAAAGAGGGUGAGAGAGAAUGAAGUAACAGAAGAGAGUUAAGUCGGAGAUGAGGAGACCAAAAAAUUUAAUACAAAUGUUUGAUAAGCACAGUACAGACAUUUUUUUUUUUGUUCUCCAGGAGAGAAGGUAGAUGAGUGGAGAAUUUAGAAAUGGAAGAUGGAGAGAAUUUAGACUGUUGUUUCCAUUUUAGUUUAAGCAAAGAGGUAGAAGAAAAGUUGUCGGAUUGUGAAU
RNAcentral lists this long non-coding RNA (442 nucleotides) under Nicotiana benthamiana. Its description in RNAcentral is "long non-coding RNA (NBEN_LNC019751)". Lineage: Eukaryota; Viridiplantae; Streptophyta; Magnoliopsida; Solanales; Solanaceae. The record is from RNAcentral.